RNAcentral lists this ribosomal RNA (484 nucleotides) under uncultured bacterium. RNAcentral's name for it is "partial 16S ribosomal RNA". It matches the Rfam family "Bacterial small subunit ribosomal RNA", at positions 30 to 507 of the family's 1533-position model. The record is from RNAcentral.
AUUGAACGCUGGCGGUAGGCCUAACACAUGCAAGUCGAGCGGCUGCAGAGUGAUUGCUCGUGCUUUCGGCUGCCGAGGGGCGGGUGAUUCCUGGAAAUAUCCCUGUUUGCUGGUGCUUGCGUGAGGACGCGGGCGAUCUUACGCUAUUCCUGCAGACGACGUACGGGUGGGAGCUUCGGAUCUUCGGACCUCGGGCGAGCCUAGGUCGGAUUAGCUAGUUGGUGGGGUAAAGGCGUACCAAGGCGACGAUCCGUAACUGGUCUGAGAGGAUGAUCAGUCACACUGGAACUGAGACACGGUCCAGACUCCUACGGGAGGCAGCAGUGGGGAAUAUUGGACAAUGGGCGAAAGCCUGAUCCAGCCAUGCCGCGUGGGUGAAGAAGGCCUUCGGGUUGUAAAGCACUUUUAUUGGGGAAGAAAAGCAGUAAGUUAAUACCUUGCUGUUUUGACGGUACCAAAAGAAUAAGCACCGGCUAACUUCGUG